RNAcentral lists this long non-coding RNA (1668 nucleotides) under Anthonomus grandis grandis. RNAcentral's name for it is "uncharacterized LOC126747693". The record is from RNAcentral. Lineage: Eukaryota; Metazoa; Arthropoda; Insecta; Coleoptera; Curculionidae.
UCAUUGAUUUCGGCACUUCGUUUUCUUAUGUAAUCUGUUCAGGUAAGUAAUUUUUGUCAUGUCUUUCAGUUGAUCCUUUAAUUGGUGCUUGUUUUUCUUCAUAUGAUAAAUAAUCAUUGGUGUAGCAAAAAAAUAUGUGGUACUUAGAUCAGGAGUUUAGGUAGGUCAUUGUUGUCACGGUUUUUGGUUCAUACUUUAAUUGGUGCUUGUUUUUCAUAUAAUUAUCAUUGGUGUAGCAAAAAAUCCGUGGUACUUAGAUCAAGAGUUCAGGUAGGUCAUUGUUUUCACGUUUUUCAGUUGAUACUUUAAUUGCUGCUUGUUUUUCAUAUAAUAAUAUUGAUACAAUUUGGUAUAAUAUAUUUGUCAUAUAAUAAAUAUUGGUGUAGCAAAAAAUCUGUGGUACUUAGAUCAAGAGUUCAGGUAGGUCAUUGUUUUCAUGUUUUUUAGUUGAUAUUAUAAUUGGUGCUUAUUUUUCAUAUAAUAAUAUUGACAUAAUUUGGUAUAAUAUAUUUGUCAUAUAAUAAAUAUUGGUGUAGCAAAAAAUCUGUGGUACUUAGAUCAAGAGUUCAGGUAGGUCAUUGUUUUCAUGUUUUUUAGUUGAUAUUAUAAUUGGUGCUUAUUUUUCAUAUAAUAAUAUUGACAUAAUUUGGUAUAAUAUAUUUGUCAUAUAAUAAAUAUUGGUGUAGCAAAAAAUCUGUGGUACUUAGAUCAAGAGUUCAGGUAGGUCAUUGUUUUCACGUUUUUUAGUUGAUACUUUAAUUGCUGCUUGUUUUUCAUAUAAUAAUAUUGAUACAAUUUGGUAUAAUAUAUUUGUCAUAUAAUAAAUAUUGGUGUAGCAAAAAAUCUGUGGUACUUAGAUCAAGAAUUCAGGUAGGUCAUUGUUGUCACGUUUUUUAGUUGAUACUUUAAUUGCUGCUUGUUUUUUAUUUAAUAAUCAUUGAUUUAGCAAAAAAUCUGUGGUAGUUAGGUGAAGCCUUCAGGUAGGUUAUUGUUUUCAGGUGAUCCUCUAAUUGCUGCUUGUUUUUCAUAUAAUAAUAUUUUUAUACAGCGUGUCAAUUUUGAAAACUUUCCAUGCAAAUAUCUCUGAAACUAAAAAAGUUAGAAAAGCGCAAUUUGGUACAAAUGUUAUACAGAUAGGGAGAAUUUCAACCACCAUAUUUUGGUUCUAGGGUAAGUCACUCCUUGGGCCCCAAAUUUUAAAUGGCACCACUCCUUUUGUGAUAUUUUAAAUUAAAGAUCUUUUGGAAUAAUAUUCACAUGCAGAAGAAUUUUUCCUAAAUUUUAUACAAAGGAAAAAAAAGUUAAAUAAAAUAAACUCUAGUUGACCCCCAGAGAAAAAGUCGAGGGGUGUUAAAUCUGGUGAUCUCGCCGGCCAUUUCAUUGGACUUUUUCUCCCAAUCCACUAAUCUGCAAGCGCAUUAAUGUGAAAAUUGUCUCACAGGAAGAACAUAGUGAGGUGGAUCUCCAUCUUGUUGAAAACGUAAUAAAUCUUUGCUUAGGUUCCUACCUCCCAUGAAUAUCCAACUGAUUUUCUAUUUCUUCAACAGUUGUAAUUAUUUCAAUUCUUAAAGCCAUACUGUAAACUAACACAAUGUUUUCUAAAACUAGGCCCAAACAUCUACUUUCUGGUACGACCUGAAACCUGCAUUCCAACAUACUGCAUUAAAA